CUUGCACUAGAGAUAAAAAUCCCAAAUUUCACAUAUUCCCUUUCUACCAAUAUAAAGACAGAAUCUCUACACAAGAAAGAAUCAACAAGAAGAAUCUUUUUAUUGAAAAAUUCCAAACACUUCUUGACACGCACACAC
Octopus sinensis (East Asian common octopus) is the source of this 138-nucleotide long non-coding RNA. RefSeq lists it as uncharacterized. NCBI's taxonomy places the organism in Eukaryota, Metazoa, Mollusca, Cephalopoda, Octopoda, Octopodidae. The record is from RefSeq and is a predicted model, not a curated record. The transcript has 3 exons.